GAACAUCUAUGGGCACCAUCUGUCUGAUGAGCAUCGGUUCUUUCCUUCCAGAAACCUCUUUCACAUCUCUCUCCUUUGUGAUGCUGGAAAUUGAACCCAGGGCCUCACACAUGCUAAUCAAGUGCUCUACCACUGAGUUACACCUCCAAACCCUCCUCUAUGAAUCUUAUGAUGCUGGCCCCAUUGUAUCCCAAGAAAGAUCCGUAGCAGGUUUGAUGGUAGCUGAUCACCUGAUGGGAUAGGCGGCAGUAGAUGUGGGGAAGGUAGGAAAGAGCACAGGGGAGUGUAGUUCAAGUUCAGAGCCUGGCUCUGCUACUUAAUGACAUCACAAAGCCAUAUUUAUAUUCUCCUUACUUCAAAGUGGCCUCAUUCCAGUAAACUAUCCUGAUGACAGGGACUUAAACAGUGGCCCAGUGAAAGCCCACCUGUUUUUGUACACUUCAGGCUGUGGAGCUUUGCUCAAGAAACAUGAAGAACCAUUGCUACUUCACCUGCCUCCAUAAUAACCCAGUGUUGUGUUUGGCUCCUACAGAAGAAUGAUACAAUUGGAACCAUGGAAUAUAUGUUAUAAGUCUAUGCAAUGAAGAUUCCAGCACAAGGAAUUGAAAGCCAAAUAGGAGACAACAAAGUAACCCAGAGAUUGGCAAGCACCAAUCAUGACUAUCAUGGAAGUCUGAAAACUUCACAACUUUGGAUUAUAAUAAACAAUCCCUCCUUUUAA
Molecule: non-coding RNA, 721 nt
Organism: Ictidomys tridecemlineatus (thirteen-lined ground squirrel)
Lineage: Eukaryota; Metazoa; Chordata; Mammalia; Rodentia; Sciuridae
Source: RefSeq, a predicted model, not a curated record